This is a long non-coding RNA of Prosopis cineraria, 1439 nucleotides long. RefSeq lists it as uncharacterized. Lineage: Eukaryota; Viridiplantae; Streptophyta; Magnoliopsida; Fabales; Fabaceae. The record is from RefSeq and is a predicted model, not a curated record. The transcript has 5 exons.
UUAAUGCUUCCCAGUUCAUUUCUCUUUUCCGGUUCCUCUAAGCUUCAAAACAUGAAGAACACGCUGGCAUGGAUUCCUGCAGUUCUGGUUUCCCUCAUCAUUGUUGGUCGCUCAGCACAGUUUGCUGCAGAUGGUGAUUAUUCAGGUUUCAUAAGCAUAGACUGUGGAGCAAGCAAAGGCUAUGUUGACGAACUAACUGGGAUUUCGUAUCAGACAGAUGAAGACUUCAUAGAAAGCGGAACCAAUCAUGAAGUACCUCCCAGCUUUAAAGUCAAUGAUCAGCCAUACAUACAAAGACAGCUUGACACGCUGAGAAGUUUUCCAGAAGAAAAAGGAACUGUUACACCCUGAGACCGAAACAAGAAACCAAUCAGCAGAAAGAAAAGUACAUGAUCAGAGCCGUGUUUUCAUAUCAGAAUUAUGACUACAAAAACCAAGCUCCAGAGUUUGACCUCUACCUGGGGGUCAAUUACUGGGACACAAUUCGAUUCGGUAAAGACAAUGAUGCUCAGUAUCGUGAGAUAAUAAUCCAACAGGUCACCAAUGGCAUUGUGCAAGUGUGUCUUGUACACAUCGAAGAGGGCACACCUUUCAUCAACACUUUGGAAUUAAGGCCAUUGAACAGCUCUCUUUAUCCCACACCAUUUCUCUUAUCUCUUGAAGUGAGGAGAGAUUGUGGCGCUGAGCGUAGAUAUUUUGUCAGGUACAAGGACGAUGUGUAUGAUCGCUUGUGGCUCAAUUCUAACGUUCGGGAUCUGAAAACAAGUACACAAGUAAAACUACUACAGAACUCUACUUAUGAGUUGCCGUCAGACAUAUUACUCACUGCAUGUCUGUCCAAAUGAUUCCCAUCUCUUGAUUAAUGGAACUUGGAAUUUCAAUCGUGAUAAGCAGUUUUACUUGUUUCUUCAUUUCAAUGAGAUUCAAAAGCUUCCUUCUGGACGAAAGAGGAUUAUCAAUGUGACUGUUAAUGAUGGGAAUUCACUCUCUCAGGACUUGCUCUUGAGUACUUGAAACCUGUAACCCUAGUUUCCAACAUGAUAACUGAAAAUUAUGUUAACUUCAAAGUCAGAAACAACAGUUGAUUCUUCUGCUCCUCCUAUCCUCAAUGCCUUUGAGAUUUUCAAGUCAUCCCAGAACUCAAAUCUCCUACUAACACACAAGACGUUAAUGCCAUCAUGGAGAUCAAGAGUACUUAUGGGGUCUCCAAAAAUCAUUGGCAAGGAGACCCAUGUGUGCCAUCUAACUUUGCAUGGCAGGUGUGAAUUGUAGCUCUGCUGGCAACAAUUCAAGAAUCCUCUCAUUGAACUUGAGCUCAAGCAAACUCGAAGGACCUAUUGAUGAAUCUUUCGCCAGUUUGGAAAGAUUAGAGUCCUUGGAUUUGUCAAACAAUCAAUUGACAGGAGAACUACCAGAAUUUCUCGCAGCUCUUCCUAAUU